CGCAGGGCUUUCGUGCGUGCGUGACAAACCUGGUGGAUAUGGUGAAUCGGGGCAAUAGGAAAGAUCAGGGCUAAAGAGAGAGAGCAAGAAAGAGUGGAAACAUCAGCUUCGUCGCUGAAUCGUCUCGAGGUUGCUUUGGAUUCAGAGCAGCACGAUCCAACGCUAUCCACGACAAUGUCGCAGAGAGCUUGGCCGGCGUCUCCACCGAGAGGGGCCACAUGGAGGAUUGUGUGGUGGCGCUGCCAAUGCCAUACCUGUGUGCUGGUUUCCGGUUCCUACGCCCAACAUUCCCCUGCUCACUGUGAUUAAUCCGCAUGCCGGCCUCCGAGUCGAGUGAUGUCUGGAAGUGAUACACGGAAUGGAGCUUCUCUGUGAAUCCAGUGUUUUUGGUGGGUUGGUGGUCGCUUGCACUCUCUGGUUUUAUGAAAGGUGUGAUGUGAACACCUGCAUGGAUAAGGUGAUAUCUCAAUGGCGUGGUGAGUUCCGGUGGUUUUUUGUUUUUUUGGUUUUGUAGCUGUCGUUUCUCAUGGCAGUUGGAUACCUCUCGUGUGAGACAGUGUUUUUUGCGAUAUCUUUUUAGUCACCGAAUGAAUUCGGCUUUUCUGCGACAUGUCGAGCAUAUUCCUGAAGGAAUAAAACCAACAUGAGAGAGCAUGAGGAUUCGAUAA
Physcomitrium patens is the source of this 668-nucleotide non-coding RNA. The record is from RefSeq and is a predicted model, not a curated record. NCBI's taxonomy places the organism in Eukaryota, Viridiplantae, Streptophyta, Bryopsida, Funariales, Funariaceae.